This 370-nucleotide ribosomal RNA is filed under the name uncultured marine eukaryote. RNAcentral describes it as "partial 18S ribosomal RNA". The record is from RNAcentral.
ACGGAGUUGUGAGUUUUUGCAAAUUCGKUUGCCCUUCUUCUCAACUCUGUCAUAGAUGGGAACGGUGUCCUGCGGACGCGCUCCUUCACUGGAGUGCUGAUGCUGUUAGGUGAAGAGCUUGACAUUUCGCGUGCGACGCACGCCUGACUGCCCAUCGUUAUCACUGUGAGAAAAACAGCGUGUUCAAGGCAGCCGCUUGCGGUUGUAUGACAAAGCAUGGAAUGACAAAGCAUCGACCAGUGGGUCUGUCUUUUGUCGGUUUUUACGAUUCAUUUGGAUAAUUUGUUUCCAAAGCAUUCUGCUUACCGUUCGCGGUUUCAGAACUUUGGCGAACACGGGAUUAAUGGGGGUUGUCGGGGGAAAACGUAUC